RNAcentral lists this long non-coding RNA (1704 nucleotides) under Homo sapiens (human). Its description in RNAcentral is "HSALNT0404344". The record is from RNAcentral. Lineage: Eukaryota; Metazoa; Chordata; Mammalia; Primates; Hominidae.
GAAGACAGGAGGGCGGAGCUAAAGGAGAGGGUAUUUUAACGACAUUAACUGUGUUUUUGUGUUAGUAACUCGGAAAGAGAGAGGCUGCCCCAAGUCAGCGCAUUGAAAGCCGCAGACCUAGUGUCUCCAGGCUCCCCCUUCCAAACGGGCGCGGACCUUCUUUCAUAGCCUGUAGCGGGGAGCCGCGUCUCCCCACUGCCUCCCCACUCCCAUCCGGCCGCUCUUUGGAGGGAACUCACACAUCCCAACAUGACGAUGCUUGCUCGGGGGGCCUCCUGGGGGGACCAGGGAGCCACUUCCUUUCCCACAUACUCCGGAAAUUAAAGUUGGUCUCCUUAAGGCUGGAGUGGCAAAUAGUUGUUUUAAGCUUGUCACAAAUGUAACUUACAUUUGGACUAAUGUUUUAAAAAAUAAUUGGAGUUUUGAAUCUACGAAGAUACCUUGGAAGUAAACAUAGUUAUUAUUUUGGUGGGAAAAAAAUGAAUGGACUUGAAAGUGAGUCACCUGUCCUGUUCCCGGGGCUCAGCUCUAGCAAAGUACCUUUCUCCAUCUACAGUCUCCGGCACACAGCUCCGCAGCUGGGGGUGACUAAGAGCCCACACCACGCAAGUAAUAAAACGCUCCAAUUUCAUUUAUUUAAUCAUCUGUGUGCUUCAUUUGACAAAUAUUUAUGGAGUGUCUGCUGCUAGCUCAGUGCCUGGUGCCUGGGACUGAAGACCAGAGCCCCCUGGAGACCAAAAGAGCCAGCUCCCAGCUGUGAGCAGAUCGGGUCCAAAGAUCACGGGCUCGGCGGCAGGAACCUGGUUUGGUAUCCGGCUCCUCUGCGGACUUUGAAGUGCUUUACCGAUUCACAUGACAACUGGUAAAACGAAAACAAACACCUUUCCAGGAAUUGUGAAUUCGAGUUCCAGACCCUCUGGGAUUCCGGGAGCGCAGCUGCUAUUUAUGUUAACAGUCAUUGGUCCCAGGCUGGUGAGGUUAGAAUUUCCAAGUAUAAAAGUAAUUUAGUUUCGUUUUAAAUACAUUUUAGGGCCAAAGAAAAGUGGAACGAUUUAAAGAAAAAGAUGAAAUGAAUAAUAGGGCAAGUUGGGAGGUGGCUGUCCUGAGGUUUCAUGGGACAACAUUAAUUAACCUCAUGAAGUGCCUGCAUGGACAACGUGCCCGGUGUGGUUACAAACAAACCAAUCAGCACAGAUCCUGGGUGGAAAGCAGGGCGCAGCCACGGAGGCACAGUAGGGGUGCAGACUUGAAGGUUUUUAGGAGGUAAGCCCCGAGGGCACGAAGCUCCACGGAGAGACUGUUGACCCGCCUGGGAGUGCAGUGCAGUCACAGCAACCUCCAAAAACCCAACUUUGCAAAGAUAUGGCAUCGUCAGAAGAAAUGGGGUGCAAUCUAAUGUUGACAGUGUGGAUGAGAGUGGGACACCUGCCAGUUGUUUGCAUCAGCAGACACUCAGAGUCCAUGGAAAAAAUGAGCCUAGAGGUUUUUAAACCACAACACAAGCAAAAGGCACCUGGUCCCGUUCCUCUUAAGACAGAAGAAAGAGGCGUAAAACCAGCUCCAGGUGCCACCCUUAAGAAAUGUUACAGUGCCGGAUGGGAAGAGUAAACCCUGAACAUCUCUUCUUAAUACUUUACAGACUUCAAGUGUAUUUUAUGGUGACAAAGCAUAUUGAAGACAAAUGAAACUCUACAACCCUGAAAA